This 555-nucleotide unclassified non-coding RNA is filed under the name Hevea brasiliensis (rubber tree). Lineage: Eukaryota; Viridiplantae; Streptophyta; Magnoliopsida; Malpighiales; Euphorbiaceae. The record is from RNAcentral.
UUUUAAAAUUAAAUAAUUUUUUUAUUAUGAUUAAAGAUCAUAUUAAAUUAAACACACCCGUACAAAAGUAUGAGUUCUUGUUACACAAGAAGAUUUAUUGGAUACUUGCUCAAGAAACUAACAAUUGAGAGAUCAACAAAAUUGAAAGGCCAUUUAUGAGAGAGAGCUUGCCUUCACACAUUUUAACUGUGCAUUAAAUGUAUAAAUUAUUCCAGGUGAUAUGCUUGUUUUCACUGUUCUUCCUCUGUAAUGCAAUCUUUGGAUGCAACUUUCAACCUUGGUCCAAACACCAACUUCAUGGAGAUCUCCUUCUUUCCAGCAUAUGCUCACUGUCAACCCACCGCGUGCCUUUAGUCCUUUCACACAUCCAUUUGCCCAUUUAUCCCAAGGAAGUGCAGGAAGCAAGUACAAAUCCUUCAUGGUACUCUGCAUCAGCAUUUCUGCAACUGCUGCUGUAACACCAAAGUUGGCAUCAAUCUGAAAAGGCGGGUGUGCUGCAAAUAAGUUGCUGUAUAAUCCACCUUCAAAAGCUACCUCAUGAUCUGGAUCCACCAA